GACCGCGUAGCUCAGUUGGAAGAGCAUUGGGCUAGUAUUCCAAAGGUCGUAGGUUCGAAUCCCGCCUUGGCCA
Non-coding RNA from Paramuricea clavata, 73 nucleotides. Lineage: Eukaryota; Metazoa; Cnidaria; Anthozoa; Malacalcyonacea; Plexauridae. The record is from the annotation of a GenBank genome assembly.